Molecule: long non-coding RNA, 633 nt
Filed under: Brassica napus (rape)
Lineage: Eukaryota; Viridiplantae; Streptophyta; Magnoliopsida; Brassicales; Brassicaceae
Description: long non-coding RNA (BNAP_LNC020079)
Source: RNAcentral
GGACGAUAGUUACUUUUUAUCUUUGACUUUAAAUUAUUGUUAUUCCCUGUGUCAAAUAUCGAAUCCCCGAAGAAAAACACGGCCGGUAUGGUUUUGUUUUCUGGCUUAGGUGGUAAUGGGGCAGGUGGGCUAGGUUUUGGUUUUGGCGAUGGAGCAGGUGGGCUAGGUUUUGGUGACGGGGCAGGUGGUGGUACAGGUUUCGGAACUGGACUAGGUGGUUUAGGUGGUGGCGGUGAUGGGCCUGGCUUUGGUGAUGGAGCAGGUGCUGGUGGUGGCUUUGGUUGCGGCUUUGGUGGUUGAGGUGGGCAUGGAGACGGGGCAGGUGCUGGUGGUGGCUUUGGCUGAGGCUUAGGUGGUUUGGUUGCGGCUUAGGUGGUGGGCAUUGAGAUGGACCAGGGGCUGGUGGUGGUUUUGGUUGAGGCUUAGGUGGUAUUGGUGGACAUGCCGAUGGACCAGGCGCUGGUGGUGGCUUUGGUUGCGGCUUAGGUGGUAUUGGUGGGCGUGGAGAUGGGCCAGAUGGUGGACCAGGAUUUGGUGAUGGGCCUGGUGGUGGGCCAGGUUCUGGUGGUUCCAUUGGCCAUGGAUACGGCCAAGGCAUUGAUGGCCAAGGUAUUGAUGGCCACGGCCAGAGCC